This 372-nucleotide ribosomal RNA is filed under the name uncultured organism. RNAcentral describes it as "bacterial SSU rRNA". It matches the Rfam family "Bacterial small subunit ribosomal RNA", at positions 526 to 896 of the family's 1533-position model. The record is from RNAcentral.
CAGAGGUCCCAAGCGUUGUUCGGAUUCACUGGGCGUAAAGGGUGCGUAGGCGGUCAGGUAAGUCUGAAGUGAAAGCUCCAUGCUCAACUUGGAAAAUGCUUCAGAUACUAUCUGACUAGAGAGCCGGAGAGGAGGCUGGAAUUCUCGGUGUAGCAGUGAAAUGCGUAGAUAUCGAGAGGAACACCAGUGGCGAAAGCGAGUCUCUGGACGGCAUCUGACGCUGAGGCACGAAAGCCAAGGUAGCAAACGGGAUUAGAUACCCCGGUAGUCUUGGCUGUAAACGGUGCGCACUUGCUGUGAGUGGAAUUAACCCCGCUCGUGGCGAAGUAAACACGAUAAGUGCGCCGCCUGGGAAGUACGGUCGCAAGAUUA